GGACUACAAGGGUUUCUAAUCCUGUUUGCUCCCCGCGCUUUCGUGCCUCAGCGUCAGUUACAGUUUAGCGAGCUGCCUUCGCAAUUGGUGUUCUGUGUCAUAUCUAAGCAUUUCACCGCUACAUGACACAUUCCGCCCACUUCAAAUGUACUCAAGGCCGUCAGUAUCAAUGGCAAUUUCCAUGUUAGGCAUGGAGCUUUCACCACUGACUUAACAACCCGCCUACGCACCCUUUAAACCCAAUAAAUCCGGAUAACGCUUGGGACCUUCGUAUUACCGCGGCUGCUGGCAC
This 292-nucleotide ribosomal RNA is filed under the name uncultured bacterium. RNAcentral's name for it is "partial 16S ribosomal RNA". RNAcentral also lists the same sequence under 1 other name. The record is from RNAcentral.